GAAAUGCGAUAAGUAAUGUGAAUUGCAGAAUUCAGUGAAUCAUCGAAUCUUUGAACGCACAUUGCGCCCGCCAGUAUUCUGGCGGGCAUGCCUGUUCGAGCGUCAUUUCAACCAUCAAGCCCCGGGCUUGUGUUGGGGACCUGCGGCUGCCGCAGGUCCUGAAAAGCAGUGGCGGGCUCGCUGUCACACCGAGCGUAGUAGCAUACAUCUCGCUCUGGGCGUGCUGCGGGUUCCGGCCGUUAAACCACCUUCGUAACCCAAGGUUGACCUCGGAUCAGGUAGGAAGACCCGCUGAACUUAAGC
This 303-nucleotide unclassified non-coding RNA is filed under the name plant metagenome. Its description in RNAcentral is "partial contains 5.8S ribosomal RNA, internal transcribed spacer 2, and large subunit ribosomal RNA". The stretch from base 1 to 105 matches the Rfam family "5.8S ribosomal RNA", at positions 50 to 154 of the family's 154-position model. The record is from RNAcentral.